GUCCAAGCGAAUAUAGUUAUAACCCUGUUGAGGUACGUGACGUCACCAAUUAGCCCUUUAUACGUCAUCAAUUUGGAACAGUAAUUCCCACGAACUUAAUAAAUAUACCUGGACUGCUAAUGCAUUACAACACCCCAAUACCCAAACAUGACCACUGCCUGGCGGCCGCCAUUCUUAUAGUGGUUGUGUCCUUUUGAUGUUGGUCACUAACAUUUUCAGUGUUGCCAACAAAAAAUAUAUUAAAUAAAGGUAACGAAUUUUACGCUGAUGAUCUGGUAAUCCUUUGCCCAGGGAAAGACGCUGUCUCAAUGCAAUGAUGAGAGCCUUGCGUAUGGUGGACCUAUGGUGCCUCUCGGGGAGUCUCUGGAUUAACCCCAAAAAAGCAGAGCUCCUACUAUCAAAUUGGAAAUCAAUUUAAAUUUAACCAGGUAAACGAAGACAGCGUAAAUAAAGCCAUAUCCCAAAUUAAAAGUACUGCUAUGGGUUCUGACUGCAUUACCAUAAAAAUGAUUAAUCUCGUAACACCUCAUAUUUCCCCGCAUCUAACAUUUAUAAUAAACUAUUGUAUUUCCAUGGGUGUUUUCCCGGAUGCUUGAAAAAAGCUGAUAUAAUCCCUGUCCCUAAGAUUGGAAAUCCAACGGAAUUAUCGCACUAUCGUCCUAUAAGCAUACUCCCUGCCAUGUCCAAAAUUUUUGAAAGAAUUGUUAAUGAUCAGCUUAAUUAAUUCUGCUUAACUAAAAAUUUGCUUCCAGUAACACAGUCGGGUUUUCGUGCAAAGCAUAGUACCAGUACAGCUCUUCUUCAUAUUUGUGAUGAUAUAUUUAAAGCUCUUGAUCAGAAAAAAACAACAGUUUUAGUAUUGCUGGACUUUAGUCGUGCAUUUGACACACUGGAUCAUUUAAUUUUAUUGGCAAAGCUCCAAUAUUUUGGGCUACAUACUUCUGCUCUUAAACUGCUAAAAAAUUAUCUUUUAAAUAGACGUCAAAGGGUAAGAAUUAAUUCUAUUCUAUCUGAAUAUUUGCAGUUGGAUCAAGGUGUCCCGCAGGGAAGUAUUCUUGGCCCCUUACUCUUUUUGUUAUAUCUAUGUGACUUUCAUAAAUUCCUUCGAGUUUGUGAAUCGCACCAGUACGCCGAUGACACACAGAUCUAUCGUUCAUUUAACUUUAUGGAGGCCAUAGAAGCUGUGAAUGCUAUUAAUUUGGAUCUUUUAGCCAUAUCUGACUUGUGUAAGAGUCACAGACUCGUAUUGAAUCCUUGUCUUUGGCAAGCCCCUUCCAGAUACCGUGAAGAUCAGCAUAGAUGGAUCUCCUUUACCUCCUUCUAAUAACCAGAAGAAUUUGGGGAUUGUCCUUGACACGGAUCUCAGGUUUGAGGGGCAUGUGUCGAAUUUGUUGAGGGCAUGUUUUUAUAAAUUAAAAAUACUCUAUAUGAACAAACAGUUUUUGACAGCUGAUAUUAAACUACAUCUUUGUGAUACAUUAAUUUUGUCAAUUGUUAGUUAUGCUCAAGUUCUGUUUUGGCCUGCCUUGUAUCAACGUGAAAAGAAUAGCCUUCGGAAAAUUCAAAACGCGUGCCUCAAGUUUAGUUUUGGUAUGAGUAAAUGCGACCAUGUCACUCCCCUGUUGGUUAGAUCAGGGUGGCUUUCUUUGGAUGAACGCUAUGUACUGCAAAUGGCUACACUAGUCCAUAAAGUUGUGCUUUUCGGACAACCAGCUUAUUUAUCUAAUAAAUUAAUUUCAAACUCCAAAAUUCACGGCAGAACCACACGAAACGCGCAUAAUUUUGUUAUUCCAGGGCAUAAAACUGCAAAAUUCCAGGGCACCUGAAGUUAAGUCUCUUCUCUCUGUAACAACCUUUAAACAAAAAACUAAAAAUAAUAUUUUUCAAAACCGACAUAGGUAAUCAUCUCUGGUCCUUCAUUGAAGUACCUACUAUGAUUUAUUGUCCAUAGCAGAUUGUAUUAUAUUUAUUAUUUUACAUUUUUAUUCUGCUAUUAUGUUCUAUAAAAUUUUGCAUUUGUGCUUAUUAAUAUGGUUAGAUAGAGUAGCUUUAAGCUAAAUCUCGCCAUUACUUAUUUAGUAGUUAAGAAAACAUGUAUUUUUAUGCUGAAUAAAGAAGACAUUUAUUAUUAUUAUUAUUAUUAUUAUUAUUAUUAUUAUUAUUAUUAUUAUUCACGAGGAGACGUAACUUUGGCACGCCCCCUGUUAUAUCUGACAUCCCUCAUCAUCACUUUCUUCACGAAUUAACACAUCAUCUAAAAUAUUAUUGGAUUUAAAUCUAGUUCUCAAGAAAUUGCUUCUUUAGGAUAUUCAAAUCUGCAUUUUGAAGGUUUAAUUAGUCAAUGUCAACAACGUCAUUUCUGUCAAUUUUGCCAAGCAAGAUGGCCGACAUACAAUUCCGAUCCCCAGCAUGCGAGGAAGGGAGCGUUGAUGUGUUAGAGCAAGACAGAUUUAUGACCGUAACAAUGUAUAAGACAACGAAGCACAUGUGACAUUUUGUUCCAGGCUUUUGGCAGUCAUUUUUUAUGUGUUUGAAACUCUUGAAAUUUGUUCUAGUUUUAAAGAAACGUUUCAUUUUUUGACUAUACAGGAUGUGACAUAAAUGAAGGAGUGUGGAUACACCAUGUGUUAAAAAAAGACACACUUACAGCAGAAACAAUGUCUGACAAAGAAGGGCAUACUAUACUUUAUCAGCCACCCACUUUUAAACAAAUACCAAUUUAAAAAUAGACAAUAGAAAAAAAUAUAAAACAAGACCAUCUCAUCUGG
Long non-coding RNA from Anthonomus grandis grandis, 2768 nucleotides. RefSeq lists it as uncharacterized. Lineage: Eukaryota; Metazoa; Arthropoda; Insecta; Coleoptera; Curculionidae. The record is from RefSeq and is a predicted model, not a curated record. The transcript has 2 exons.